Long non-coding RNA from Selaginella moellendorffii, 841 nucleotides. RefSeq lists it as uncharacterized. The transcript has 2 exons. The record is from RefSeq and is a predicted model, not a curated record. NCBI's taxonomy places the organism in Eukaryota, Viridiplantae, Streptophyta, Lycopodiopsida, Selaginellales, Selaginellaceae.
ACCACCAAAGUUACCGCCGUUGCCUCCACCAAAGUUACCGCCACUUCCAUCACCGAUGUUGGGACCUCCACCCCCGUUAAAUCUACCCCUGCACCUGUAAUAAUCGCCGUCGUCGUGGUCCGGACAAUGGUGCGCCGGUUCCAUGACUUCGCUUGUUUCCCUUGCUGCCGAAGACAUUGUAGCUACUAGCAUCACUGAAAGGAGCAGCAUUCCCCUGUAAGUCUUCAUUCUAGCACCUCCUCCUAAUGAUCGAGCUAAGUACUUGCCGGAAAGAGCAGCGAAGAAUGCUGCUAGAGAGUUCAUGAUAAAGCUCACCAGUCUCCACAGCUGAAGGAGUAACCAGGAUCGUCGUUGUCAACGGCGCUCUUCUUGUUGCUGCGCUCUUCUUGUUGCGGCGCUCUUCUCGCUCCCCUUUGAUCCUUCUAGGAUGGGAAGAAAAGACGAGUCUUAGCAGCAGCACUCCUGCAUUCAAUGCACACCACUGUCCUGCCUCAACCUCGUGGCUUGCGUAAGGAAAAGACCACUACCAGUGGCCUCGGUUCCUGGCGAGGAGAGCAAAACUCUAUCAGCUUCGUUCUCUUGUCUUCCACUCUCUAGCCACAUUCCACGGUGGAAGGGAACUGAGAGAAUCUAGAAGCCGCUGCAAAACGACGACCCUCCUCCGUGGAAAGACGGUCUCCUGCUUUUUCAAGCACCACCAGAGCCAGACGGGCCAGCCUUUCCUUUUCGCGCUUGUAUGACGGUGCGGAAUGAAUGCCAUCUCUUGUGUAGAGCACUUAGCGUGAGAGGUCCUGACCCCUCUGUCCCUGCACAAUGAAAUCACGUGCAGCUUGUUAUACCC